UAGAAUUCGAAAUUAGAAAGCGCAGUUCGUGUGCGGUAUCGUUAUUGAGGAAAGAGCUUAUGAAGCUCCCCCGUUCCAGCUUCCUUUGUUCGGGGCACCGGAGCACGGGAGGCUGGUGGCGCCCCUAGCGGGGCUUUCCCGAAGCAGGGGUUACGCGGUCGCGAGAGGCUGUGUUUAUCAUUCAGUACGACUGGAUUUCACCAUGGAGACGCGUUCUUUGUAUAUGUGGUUUCUUUUCUCCGCUCUCACUUCUGUUUACGCUAUAGCGCUGACAAAAGUGGUCCAGACCCCCGGUCUAACUCAAUCGCGGGUGGAAAUGUGGAAUACAGUUAUGUGUCGAACAACCAAGUGAAUAUCAGUAAUGUAUGGACCUGCCGGAAGAGGGAUACCCCGUUUUUUACCGCUACUUUCGCGACCGCGUAACGUGGUUCGAGGCCGACGCCGUUUGCCAGUUCCAUCACGCCAACUUGUCACAGGUAAGAUGACCUCAGUAUCUUAAGCACACGUACCGACGAAAACUCAAUCCUUUUUACAGAAAGGAAAGUUAAAAGUGGACGUAUUUCUGUCAAACGGAACUAAGCGCCAUCGGAGGAGGAAAGUAGCGGGGGGCUUGGAUUGGCGGCGAAAUCGGGC
This 633-nucleotide long non-coding RNA is filed under the name Bemisia tabaci. RNAcentral describes it as "lncRNA ENSSSA1NGG004460". The record is from RNAcentral. Lineage: Eukaryota; Metazoa; Arthropoda; Insecta; Hemiptera; Aleyrodidae.